CAACCCUCAAGCCUGGCUUGGUGUUGGGGUUCUGCGCAUGCAGUCCCCUAAAUUCAGUGGCGGACACGCUAGGUCUCCGAGCGCAGUAACUUUUCUCGCUUCGGGCGUCCGGCGUGGGCUUGCCUUGCACCCAUACUUCUCAA
RNAcentral lists this unclassified non-coding RNA (143 nucleotides) under uncultured Myrmecridium. Its description in RNAcentral is "partial internal transcribed spacer 2". The record is from RNAcentral. Lineage: Eukaryota; Fungi; Ascomycota; Sordariomycetes.